GAUGUCUAACUCACCCUGAUUUAUCUAACCAAUUGUUUUAUUUUCAAUCCUAGGCAACAACUCUUGAAGUUCGAUGUCCACGCGUGGAAUGUCCCCCUCUUGUUUGCGAAGAAAAAGCUGCGAUUCGACCAGAUAAGAAAGCAUGUUGUAAGGUGUGCCCUACUAAUCUGUCGACAACCAAAUCUCCAAUCCUCUCAGAAGCUGCAUCGGAAGAAAAAAUACCCCAGCAGAGAUUAGACACUGAUGUGAUAGCUGCGGGCGGUUGCAAGUAUCCAGUCGGUGGCCCAUACGAAAAUGGCGCAGAAUGGCAUCCUCGUGUCUAUUCCCAUGGUGAAGUUAAAUGCGUCAAGUGUCGAUGCAAAGAUGGAAAAGUGAAGUGCGAACGGAAAAGAUGUGGCAGGUGGUCUUGUAAUGAUGAGUGCUGCGCAUCCAAGUGUCAAAAACGAAGAAGGAGAGAGUCAAAAAUCCGGGAGGCUAGGCUCAGAAGUUCUCGGCGGAAUUUGUCACCAUUUUAGAUGCUUCCAGGGAUCUUUUGGAUUUGAUUGAAUGUAAGCUUGAAUGCAGUAACAAGUCAACCAGUUGUUAAUGGAGUAUCCUUAAAUUUUCCCAUCACUGGCAAGUCCAUCUCCAACCUCAAAACUGCAAAAUUUAGCCCAACAAUCAAUCAACAGGAAACAUUUUUGGUGUUUUACUGUUUCAUUUUGACCUUGAACAACAGUUCCUUAUUGUAAGUUCUUCUGUCUUCCGACACUACAUCGUAUUUGACAGAUAGAGCUUGUCAGAUAAGGCCAUACACUUUUCAGUUACACGGUUAGUUGCAGUUGGCUAACUUAAAUAACAUUUUUAAUAACAUAAAGUUUCUUUGAAGCCAACUAAUAGAGAUCUGGCAAUUGUGAGGGCACUGUACCCUUACGAUGUGAAAAUGUGUUGCAGAGAGUAGUGUUACUAUGAUUUUACUGACCUACGAGCAUAAACUAUCAAAACUUGAUUCUGCGACAGGUGCAUCUGACCCAUCAGCUGAAGAUUGUGGCAGGUUGUGGCAGUACAUAUUGUUAGUUACUGUUCCAAUCACUCACUGUUUGUUUGACCAGUAAAGUAUUAUGAGUUCCGUCCAAUGUUACAGAAAUUUUUCUAUGUAGUCAACAUUACACAUAAAGAUCCACUGUUGCAUGAAAGUUUUAGGGAUUUUUCUUCGUGGCCUGAUUCUCUAAAAUUUUCUGGAUUUGUACCAAAACUUUUUUACAUUUAGAAAAGAUUUCAGUGCUGGUACUUUUUUAAACUAAUUUAACCAGAUAGUCUACACUGUGGUCCUCCGAAAAUAUCUCUACUUAUAGGUUUAAGAUAGAUGUAGCUUAUCACAGCCAUCUGUAAACUCCAAAAGUUGCAAAAUCAGCCUUCGCUUUCCUGAUAUAGACCUAGGUUUUAUCUUGGACUCUCCUCCUGGCAUGAAACUCUCUGAAAAGGUUUCACCU
This is a non-coding RNA of Bemisia tabaci, 1472 nucleotides long. Lineage: Eukaryota; Metazoa; Arthropoda; Insecta; Hemiptera; Aleyrodidae. The record is from RefSeq and is a predicted model, not a curated record.